RNAcentral lists this ribosomal RNA (963 nucleotides) under uncultured Orbales bacterium. RNAcentral's name for it is "partial 23S ribosomal RNA". It matches the Rfam family "Bacterial large subunit ribosomal RNA", at positions 908 to 1857 of the family's 2925-position model. The record is from RNAcentral. Lineage: Bacteria; Pseudomonadati; Pseudomonadota; Gammaproteobacteria; Orbales.
CACUGUUUCGGCUAGGGGGCCAUCCCGGCUUACCAACCCGAUGCAAACUCCGAAUACUGACAAGUAUAGCAUGGGAGACACACGGCGGGUGCUAACGUUCGUCGUGAAGAGGGAAACAACCCAGACCGCCAGCUAAGGUCCCAAAGUCAUAGUUAAGUGGGAAACGAAGUGGGAAGGCUUAGACAGCUAGGAUGUUGGCUUAGAAGCAGCCAUCAUUUAAAGAAAGCGUAAUAGCUCACUAGUCGAGUCGGCCUGCGCGGAAGAUGUAACGGGGCUAAAACUAUGCACCGAAGCUGCGGCAGUGUGUGAAUAACAUAUUGGGUAGGGGAGCGUUCUGUAAGCCGUAGAAGGUAUCUUGUGAGGGGUGCUGGAGGUAUCAGAAGUGCGAAUGCUGACAUAAGUAACGAUAAAGCGGGUGAAAAGCCCGCUCGCCGGAAGACCAAGGGUUCCUGUCCAACGUUAAUCGGGGCAGGGUGAGUCGACCCCUAAGGAGAGGCCGAAAGGCGUAUCUAAUGGGAAACGGGUUAAUAUUCCCGUACUGAAUAUAACUGCGAUGGGGGGACGAAGAAGGCUAGGUUUACCACCUAUUGGAUGGUGGGUUAAGCGUGUAGGGGUGUGACUUGGAAAAUCCGGUCACUGUAACUCUGAGGCGUGAUGACGAGGCACUAAGGUGCUGAAGUAAUUGAUGCCCUGCUUCCAGGAAAAGCCUCUAAGCUCUAGGUUAUAUUGAAUCGUACCCGAAACCGACACAGGUGGUCAGGUAGAGAAUACUCAGGCGCUUGAGAGAACUCGGGUGAAGGAACUAGGCAAAAUGGUGCCGUAACUUCGGGAGAAGGCACGCUGAUAUUAGUUGAAGUCCGUAGCGGAUGGAGGUGAAAUCAGUCGAAGAUACCAGCUGGCUGCAACUGUUUAAUAAAAACACAGCACUGUGCAAACACGAAAGUGGACGUAUACGGUGUGAAG